GUGCAUUUGGAUUAUGAAUGCUGUUUCCUCCAGUGGGUGACACCAAGCAGGUCCCGCAGGGAAAUCCAGGAAACGCUAACUUCUACUCAUUCUUCUUUCCUACCCCAGUUUUCUUGGUGGAUCAGUGUAGAAGGAAACUGCUUCUUUCAUUUCUCAGGAAGAACUGCUUUAAGAGGGGCAGAUGGGAGCACCUACGAAGUGAAAUACGGAAACUGUCUCUACAUGGCAGAAGCAUCUCCCUGGGUGCUGGUGAAUUUUAUACUUUUUAAAAGAUCAAUAAUGGAAUAUUUCCCAUUCCUGCAUGACCAGCUGACCUCUGAUGCCAGCUUUGAACAGCAUCAGCCACAGAUCCAGCUGAUGAAGGAGAAGAGUCCCCAUUAACAGA
This 385-nucleotide long non-coding RNA is filed under the name Zonotrichia albicollis (white-throated sparrow). RNAcentral's name for it is "lncRNA (ENSZALG00000008675.1)". The record is from RNAcentral. Lineage: Eukaryota; Metazoa; Chordata; Aves; Passeriformes; Passerellidae.